UCCAUCCAGUGGCAACACUGGGGAAGACCUAGUGGCGAACGGGUGAGUAACACGUGAGGAACCUGCCCCGAAGACCGGGAUAACCCUCCGAAAGGAGAGCUAAUACCGGAUGUCCUUCCCGGACCGCAUGAUCCGGUGAGGAAAUGGAUUCCGCUUCGGGAGGGCCUCGCGGCCUAUCAGCUUGUUGGUGGGGUAACGGCCCACCAAGGCUUCGACGGGUAGCUGGUCUGAGAGGACGAUCAGCCACACUGGGACUGAGACACGGCCCAGACUCCUACGGGAGGCAGCAGUGGGGAAUAUUGGACAAUGGGGGCAACCCUGAUCCAGCGACGCCGCGUGUGUGAAGAAGGCCUGCGGG
This 358-nucleotide ribosomal RNA is filed under the name uncultured bacterium. Its description in RNAcentral is "bacterial SSU rRNA". It matches the Rfam family "Bacterial small subunit ribosomal RNA", at positions 68 to 422 of the family's 1533-position model. The record is from RNAcentral.